Molecule: non-coding RNA, 22 nt
Filed under: Brugia malayi
Lineage: Eukaryota; Metazoa; Nematoda; Chromadorea; Rhabditida; Onchocercidae
Also listed under: 2 other names
Gene: bma-miR-9-5p
Source: miRBase by way of RNAcentral
CUUUGGUUAUCUAGCUGUAUGA